AGGUUCUGCUUUCUGGCGACAACAUGCCAGAAAGGUCUUUGCUGUGACCGAGGGAGAAAUUGAAAGGCUGUGAAGCCACAAAAGAAGGCGAGAAAGCAACCAGACUGUGUCUGUGGAGGACAAUCUGGAAGUUGUGUCCAGAAAGUUAAGAAAGCUGGUUGACUAUAUGUCAACAGCAAUCAAUUGACCCUCACACCCCCACAGAAGGAGGCAAUUAAAACUGCCUUCAGCUGUUUAAUUUGUACAGAAAUGAUGAAGGAACCCAUUUUUGGUGAGUGCUGCCGAAGCCUGCUAGGAUGCAGUGUGUGUGUGGACAGGUGGAUGGAGGAUCACGACUACUGCCCGAAGUGCAGAGGGGCUGUCUUUGACGUUCAUAGGCAUUCAGUGGUGGGGUUAGAUGAAGCCUUGGCUGCUAUUCAGCACCUGUUUUCUUAAGAAGCGAAAAUAACGUGUAACCAGAAUUAUGUAAAAAUCUUAAUACUAAAGGAUAUUUAAUAAUUUAACA
Long non-coding RNA from Alosa sapidissima (American shad), 505 nucleotides. RefSeq lists it as uncharacterized. The record is from RefSeq and is a predicted model, not a curated record. Lineage: Eukaryota; Metazoa; Chordata; Actinopteri; Clupeiformes; Clupeidae. The transcript has 3 exons.